UACGGAGGGUGCGAGCGUUGUCCGGAAUCACUGGGCGUAAAGGGCGCGUAGGCGGCGCGGGAAGUCAACGGUGAAAGCUUGGGGCUCAACUCCGAGUCGGCCGUCGAUACUCCCGUGCUCGAGCACUGUAGUGGCAGAUGGAAUUCCGGGUGUAGCGGUGGAAUGCGUAGAGAUCCGGAAGAACACCGGUGGCGAAGGCGGUCUGCUGGGCAGUUGCUGACGCUGAUGCGCGACAGCGUGGGGAGCAAACAGG
RNAcentral lists this ribosomal RNA (253 nucleotides) under uncultured bacterium. RNAcentral's name for it is "partial 16S ribosomal RNA". It matches the Rfam family "Bacterial small subunit ribosomal RNA", at positions 524 to 776 of the family's 1533-position model. The record is from RNAcentral.